Molecule: ribosomal RNA, 509 nt
Filed under: uncultured bacterium
Lineage: Bacteria
Description: partial 16S ribosomal RNA
Rfam family: Bacterial small subunit ribosomal RNA (bases 20-328)
Source: RNAcentral
GACGAACGCUGGCGGCGUGCUUAACACAUGCAAGUCGAACGGAAAGGCCCUGCUUUUGUGGGGUGCUCGAGUGGCGAACGGGUGAGUAACACGUGAGUAACCUGCCCUUGACUUUGGGAUAACUUCAGGAAACUGGGGCUAAUACCGGAUAGGAGCUCCUGCUGCAUGGUGGGGGUUGGAAAGUUUCGGCGGUUGGGGAUGGACUCGCGGCUUAUCAGCUUGUUGGUGGGGUAGUGGCUUACCAAGGCUUUGACGGGUAGCCGGCCUGAGAGGGUGACCGGGGGGGGCGGGAGUGAGGGGCGCGCGGGCAUGGGGGGGGGGGAGGGGGUGGGGGUGAUGGCACGGGGGGGGGAGGCGUGGGGAGGCGGCGGUGGGUGGGGGAGGAGGGCGCGGGGGGUGGACACCGCGCGGGGUUGUGACGGGGGGGGAGGGCGGUUAGUGGGGAAGGAAGCACCGGCUAACGACGGGCCAGCGGCCGGGGUAACAUUGGGAGGAGAACACGUCUGAAC